GCGUCGAGCGGCGGACGGGUGAGUAAUGCUUGGGAAUAUGCCUUUUGGUGGGGGACAACAGUUGGAAACGACUGCUAAUACCGCAUAAUGUUUACGGACCAAAGCGGGGGAUUCUUCGGAACCUCGUGCCAAAAGAUUAGCCCAAGUGAGAUUAGCUAGUUGGUGGGGUAAUGGCCUACCAAGGCGACGAUCUCUAGCUGGUUUGAGAGGAUGAUCAGCCACACUGGGACUGAGACACGGCCCAGACUCCUACGGGAGGCAGCAGUGGGGAAUAUUGCACAAUGGGGGAAACCCUGAUGCAGCCAUGCCGCGUGUGUGAAGAAGGCCUUCGGGUUGUAAAGCACUUUCAGUCGUGAGGAAAGGGGUGUAGCUAAUAUCUGCAUCCUGUGACGUUAGCGACAGAAGAAGCACCGGCUAACUCCGUGCCAGCAGCCGCGGUAAUACGGAGGGUGCGAGCGUUAAUCGGAAUUACUGGGCGUAAAGCGUGCGUAGGCGGUUUGAUAAGCCAGAUGUGAAAUCCCGGGGCUUAACCUCGGAACUGCAUUUGGAACUGUUUGACUAGAGUACUGUAGAGGGUGGUGGAAUUUCCAGUGUAGCGGUGAAAUGCGUAGAGAUUGGAAGGAACAUCAGUGGCGAAGGCGGCCACCUGGACAGAUACUGACGCUGAGGCACGAAAGCGUGGGGAGCGAACAGGAUUAGAUACCCUGGUAGUCCACGCCGUAAACGAUGUCAACUAGCUGUUUGUGUUCUUGAAACGUGAGUAGCGUAGCUAACGCGCUAAGUUGACCGCCUGGGGAGUACGGCCGCAAGGUUAAAACUCAAAUGAAUUGACGGGGGCCCGCACAAGCGGUGGAGCAUGUGG
RNAcentral lists this ribosomal RNA (862 nucleotides) under uncultured bacterium. Its description in RNAcentral is "bacterial SSU rRNA". It matches the Rfam family "Bacterial small subunit ribosomal RNA", at positions 88 to 944 of the family's 1533-position model. The record is from RNAcentral.